This is a long non-coding RNA of Sardina pilchardus (European sardine), 291 nucleotides long. RefSeq lists it as uncharacterized. The record is from RefSeq and is a predicted model, not a curated record. NCBI's taxonomy places the organism in Eukaryota, Metazoa, Chordata, Actinopteri, Clupeiformes, Clupeidae. The transcript has 3 exons.
UGUACAUUUUCCUAAACAGGAAACCGUGAUCAUUUUGUCUUGAUCUGUGUUUUGAAGUUUGAGUGGCCAGACGAGAGAGAAGCCACCUCUUGGCCCAGCAACACGUUGAAUCUUGUACAGGUGCAGCAGGCGAUGAUGAAGAUGACAAUGAGCACGAUGAUGAUUCCACUGUUGUUAUGUCUCCCCCUGCUGGCUAUGAUUCUACACGCCCCUCAAGUCACGGCAGUCCAAGAGAGUGACCCGUGUUACAACUACACCGUGCUGAACGACACCUGGAGGGCCACCACCAAC